UUUGGGGGAAAUAGUGAUCCGUCGGGUUGGGGAAAAAAGUAUCAUCCCUUGAAGUAAAAUUAGGUUUGCUUCCUUUUACUCCCAAAAUCUUUUUACCGCGUGGGUAAAAAGAAUCAUCAUGGGGGGGUAUAAAAAGGAACCAAAUUUAAAUUUACCUCAAGGGAUCUUGAUGUUUUUUUCCCCAACAGGACGGAUCACUAUUUUCUCCAAG
Molecule: microRNA precursor, 211 nt
Filed under: Medicago truncatula (barrel medic)
Lineage: Eukaryota; Viridiplantae; Streptophyta; Magnoliopsida; Fabales; Fabaceae
Description: MIR2670 microRNA precursor family
Rfam family: MIR2670 microRNA precursor family
Source: Rfam by way of RNAcentral